Molecule: non-coding RNA, 48 nt
Filed under: Trichobilharzia regenti
Lineage: Eukaryota; Metazoa; Platyhelminthes; Trematoda; Strigeidida; Schistosomatidae
Source: RNAcentral
AGUUAGCUGGAGAGUCCCAAAUAGGACGAAAUGCGCGUUGUCCUGGAU